GUCUUGAAACACGGACCAAGGAGUCUAGCAUGUGCGCGAGUCAUUGGGAACAACUAAACCUAAAGGCGUAAUGAAAGUGAAGGUCCGCCUUGCGCGGACCGAGGGAAGAUGGGCGGACGGGCCUAACACGCUCGCCGUUCCGCACUCCCGGGGCGUCUCGUUCUCAUUGCGAGAAGAGGCGCACCAAGAGCGUACACGCUGGGACCCGAAAGAUGGUGAACUAUGCCUGGUCAGGACGAAGUCAGGGGAAACCCUGAUGGAGGUCCGUAGCGAUUCUGACGUGCAAAUCGAUCGUCGGAACUGGGUAUAGGGGCGAAAGACUAAUCGAACCAUCUAGUAGCUGGUUCCCUCCGAAGUUUCCCUCAGGAUAGCUGGCGCUCGUCGCCUACGAGUCUCAUCCGGUAAAGCGAAUGAUUAGAGGCAUUGGGGUCGAAACGGCCUCAACCUAUUCUCAAACUUUAAAUGGGUGAGAUCUCCGGCUUGCUCGAACUACUGAAGCCGCGAGACACGGAUCAGAGUGCCAAGUGGGCCAUUUUUGGUAAGCAGAACUGGCGCUGUGGGAUGAACCAAACGCCGAGUUAAAGCGCCUAAAUCGACGCUUAUGGGAUACCAUGAAAGGCGUUGGUAACUUAAGACAGCAGGACGGUGGCCAUGGAAGUCGGAAUCCGCUAAGGAGUGUUGU
This 682-nucleotide ribosomal RNA is filed under the name Cymatodera balteata. RNAcentral describes it as "eukaryotic LSU rRNA". It matches the Rfam family "Eukaryotic large subunit ribosomal RNA", at positions 651 to 1283 of the family's 3401-position model. The record is from RNAcentral. Lineage: Eukaryota; Metazoa; Arthropoda; Insecta; Coleoptera; Cleridae.